GACGAACCGUGCGAACGUUAUUCGGAAUCAUUGGGCCUAAAGGGCGCGUAGACGGGUGACCGCGUCGAGUGCUGAAAGCCCCCGGCUCAACCGGGGAAUGGGCCUCGAAACGGGUCGCCUCGAGGCGCGGAGGGGGACCCGGAACGUCCGGUGGAGCGGUGAAAUGCGUUGAGAUCGGACGGAACGCCGACGGCGAAAGCAGGGUCCUGGACUCGUCCUGACGUUGAGGCGCGAAAGCCAGGGGA
RNAcentral lists this ribosomal RNA (245 nucleotides) under uncultured bacterium. RNAcentral's name for it is "partial 16S ribosomal RNA". It matches the Rfam family "Bacterial small subunit ribosomal RNA", at positions 524 to 767 of the family's 1533-position model. The record is from RNAcentral.